GCAUGGUUUCAUUAUUAAAGGAUUCCGGUAAAGGAUGGGGAUGCGUUCCAUUAGGUUGUUGGUGAGGUAACGGCUCACCAAGCCUUCGAUGGACAGGGGUUCUGAGAGGAAGGUCCCCCACAUUGGAACUGAGACACGGUCCAAACUCCUACGGGAGGCAGCAGUGAGGAAUAUUGGUCAAUGGGCGGUAGCCUGAACCAGCCAAGUAGCGUGAAGGAUGAAGGCUCUAUGGGUCGUAAACUUCUUUUAUAUAAGAAUAAAGUGCAGUAUGUAUACUGUUUUGUAUGUAUUAUAUGAAUAAGGAUCGGCUAACUCCGUGCCAGCAGCCGCGGUAAUACGGAGGAUCCGAGCGUUAUCCGGAUUUAUUGGGUUUAAAGGGAGCGUAGGUGGACUGGUAAGUCAGUUGUGAAAGUUUGCGGCUCAACCGUAAAAUUGCAGUUGAUACUGUCAGUCUUGAGUACAGUAGAGGUGGGCGGAAUUCGUGGUGUAGCGGUGAAAUGCUUAGAUAUCACGAAGAACUCCGAUUGCGAAGGCAGCUCACUGGACUGCAACUGACGCUGAUGCUCGAAAGUGUGGGUAUCAAACAGGAUUAGAUACCCUGGUAGUCCACACAGUAAACGAUGAAUACUCGCUGUUUGCGAUAUACAGUAAGCGGCC
This 657-nucleotide ribosomal RNA is filed under the name uncultured bacterium. Its description in RNAcentral is "bacterial SSU rRNA". It matches the Rfam family "Bacterial small subunit ribosomal RNA", at positions 188 to 848 of the family's 1533-position model. The record is from RNAcentral.